This 254-nucleotide ribosomal RNA is filed under the name uncultured prokaryote. RNAcentral describes it as "partial 16S ribosomal RNA". It matches the Rfam family "Bacterial small subunit ribosomal RNA", at positions 524 to 777 of the family's 1533-position model. The record is from RNAcentral.
UACGGAGGAUGCAAGCGUUAUCCGGAUUUAUUGGGUUUAAAGGGUGCGCAGGUUGUUUGAUAAGUCAGUGGUGAAAGUCUGUCGCUUAACGGUAGGAUUGCCAUUGAUACUGUUGGACUUGAAUAUGGAUGAGGUAGGCGGAAUGUGUAGUGUAGCGGUGAAAUGCAUAGAUAUUACACAGAACACCGAUUGCGAAGGCAGCUUACUAAUCCAUCAUUGACGCGGAGGCACGAAAGCGUGGGGAUCAAACAGGA